RNAcentral lists this ribosomal RNA (331 nucleotides) under uncultured Prevotella sp. RNAcentral describes it as "bacterial SSU rRNA". It matches the Rfam family "Bacterial small subunit ribosomal RNA", at positions 355 to 682 of the family's 1533-position model. The record is from RNAcentral. Lineage: Bacteria; Pseudomonadati; Bacteroidota; Bacteroidia; Bacteroidales; Prevotellaceae.
GGAGGAAUAUUGGUCAAUGGGCGAGAGCCUGAACCAGCCAAGUAGCGUGCAGGAAGACGGCCCUAUGGGUUGUAAACUGCUUUUAUAAGGGAAUAAAGUGGGUCACGUGUGACUUUUUUGCAUGUACCUUAUGAAUAAGGACCGGCUAAUUCCGUGCCAGCAGCCGCGGUAAUACGGAAGGUCCGGGCGUUAUCCGGAUUUAUCGGGUUUAAAGGGAGCGUAGGCCGGAGAUUAAGCGUGUUGUGAAAUGUAGUGGCUCAACCUCUGCACUGCAGCGCGAACUGGUCUUCUUGAGUACGCACAACGUGGGCGGAAUUCGUGGUGUAGCGGU